GGGGCUGUCCUGGUUUCGACGUGGGUACGGAUCUGGAGUGGCGCAUGCCGAGCUUGAGUCACGCUCGUAAAUCUCGAUUCACUAAACUAACUGCAAACGACGAUCGUUUCGCACUCGCCGCCUAAAUCCGGCGAGACUUGCAACAGCACGCUGAUGGGCUGGGCCAAAGCCGCAAGGUAAUGGCUGCAAGUGAAUUCACAUCAGCUGGCCGCAUGCCGGGCAUCUUGGCAUGUGGCGAGAUCCAAGGAUGCUGGCCUGAUCGAUAGCGUGUGGCUGCGCGAUCGACCGGGCGAGAUCAAAACAGACCACUAAGCAUGUAGAACUGCCCGGCAAAGGCUUGCGGACGCGGGUUCAACUCCCGCCAGCUCCACCA
Molecule: transfer-messenger RNA, 373 nt
Filed under: Burkholderiales
Lineage: Bacteria; Pseudomonadati; Pseudomonadota; Betaproteobacteria
Description: Lampropedia animalimorsus Standard tmRNA
Rfam family: transfer-messenger RNA
About the family: Bacterial tmRNA, also known as 10Sa RNA or SsrA, is named for its dual tRNA and mRNA-like properties. Its role is to liberate the mRNA from a stalled ribosome.
Source: RNAcentral